CAGCCGCGCGGUAAUACGUAGGGUGCAAGCGUUAAUCGGAAUUACUGGGCGUAAAGCGUGCGCAGGCGGUUUGUUAAGACAGAUGUGAAAUCCCCGGGCUCAACCUGGGAACUGCAUUUGUGACUGGCAAGCUAGAGUGUGGCAGAGGGUGGUGGAAUUCCGCGUGUAGCAGUGAAAUGCGUAGAUAUGCGGAGGAACACCGAUGGCGAAGGCAGCCCCCUGGGCCAACACUGACGCUCAUGCACGAAAGCGUGGGGAGCAAACAGGAUUAGAUACCCCAGUAGUCCCUGUCUCUUAUACA
This 301-nucleotide ribosomal RNA is filed under the name uncultured bacterium. Its description in RNAcentral is "partial 16S ribosomal RNA". It matches the Rfam family "Bacterial small subunit ribosomal RNA", at positions 509 to 808 of the family's 1533-position model. The record is from RNAcentral.